CCCUUAGAUGUUCUGGGCCGCACGCGUGCUACACUGAGUGGAUCAGCGGGUCAGGUUGCGCGAAAGCGUUUCCUAAUCUUGAAAUCCGCUCGUGAUGGGGAUUGACGGUUGCAAUUUUCUGUCAUGAACGAGGAAUACCUUGUAAGCGCGAGUCAUCAUCCCGUGCUGAAUACGUCCCUGCCCUUUGUACACACCGCCCGUCGCUCCUACCGAUUGAGUGGUCCGGUGAGGCUUUGGGAUCUGAGCGGAAAGAGCGUUUCGCUCGUUCUGCCCGGAAAACUCAGUCGAACCUUAUCAUUUAGAGGAAGGAGAAGUCGUAACA
RNAcentral lists this ribosomal RNA (322 nucleotides) under uncultured eukaryote. RNAcentral describes it as "partial 18S ribosomal RNA". It matches the Rfam family "Eukaryotic small subunit ribosomal RNA", at positions 1470 to 1796 of the family's 1831-position model. The record is from RNAcentral.